This 118-nucleotide ribosomal RNA is filed under the name Diaphorina citri (Asian citrus psyllid). Lineage: Eukaryota; Metazoa; Arthropoda; Insecta; Hemiptera; Psyllidae. The record is from RNAcentral.
UCCAGCGCGAUUGCACGUAGAAAAUACAUCAGUUCCCAUGGAUCACUGAAGUUAAGCAACUUUGCGCAUGGUUAGUAUCCGGAUGAGUGACCAUUUGGGUAAUUGCGUGUUGCUGACU